UACGUAGGGAGCGAGCGUUAUCCGGAUUUAUUGGGCGUAAAGCGUGCGUAGGCGGUUUAUUAAGUUUAAGAUUAAAUACCGGGGCUUAACUCCGGAUCGUCUUAAAAACUGGUAGGCUUGAGUGUAGUAGAGGUAAAUGGAAUUUCUAGUGUAGCGGUGAAAUGCGUAGAUAUUAGAAGGAACACCAGUGGCGAAGGCGAUUUACUGGGCCAUAACUGACGCGGAGGCACGAAAGCGUGGGGAGCAAAUA
RNAcentral lists this ribosomal RNA (250 nucleotides) under uncultured prokaryote. RNAcentral describes it as "partial 16S ribosomal RNA". It matches the Rfam family "Bacterial small subunit ribosomal RNA", at positions 524 to 774 of the family's 1533-position model. The record is from RNAcentral.